CGACGCCGCGUGGAGGAUGAAGGCCUUCGGGUCGUAAACUCCUGUCGAGGGGGACGAAAUGGCACCUUGUAAAUAGCAAGGAGCCUUGACUGUACCCCUGGAGGAAGCCCCGGCUAACUCCGUGCCAGCAGCCGCGGUAAUACGGAGGGGGCCAGCGUUGCUCGGAAUCACUGGGCGUAAAGGGCUCGUAGGCGGUCUGAUAAGUCCUGUGUGAAAUCCCUUGGCUUAACCAAGGAACUGCGCCGGAUACUGUCGGACUAGAGGCCGGGAGAGGGAAGCGGAAUUCCCAGUGUAGCGGUGAAAUGCGUAGAUAUUGGGAGGAACAUCGGUGGCGAAGGCGGCUUCCUGGACCGGUUCUGACGCUGAGGAGCGAAAGCUAGGGUAGCAAACAGGAUUAGAUACCCUGGUAGUCCUAGCUGUAAACGAUGGGCGCUUGGUGUUGCGGGUAUCGGCCCCUGCAGUGCCGAAGCUAACGCAUUAAGCGCCCCGCCUGGGGAGUGCGGUCGCAAGGCUG
Molecule: ribosomal RNA, 514 nt
Filed under: uncultured bacterium
Lineage: Bacteria
Description: bacterial SSU rRNA
Rfam family: Bacterial small subunit ribosomal RNA
Source: RNAcentral